GUGGGGUGGGGGCAGACCUCUCUUAAAACCCAGCCAGAAGCUUCCUGUAACAGAAGCCGUCCGACCCCCGGGCCAGGGCCCAAACAGUGGAAGGAUGGGCAGGGUGUGGGGCAGGCCCCCAGGGAUGCCUUCCAGGGCGCCCCAGCCCUGUCUCUGGAGCUGACACCCGCUGCACCCGCCAUGCUGCUGCCCAAGGCCAGUCCUCAGCCUGACAGAUCUCGGCAAGACGCCCUGCUGGGUAAACCGUGCCAUAGACCGGGACUCCUCGUCCGAUCUGCUCUGAGAAGAGGCUUCCUGGGUCGGGGUCAGACGCGGGCGGCGAGGACCCGCGGUCCCGGUCGUCUCUCAUCUGGCUCCUUCUCAAGGCCUCCUGACUGGUCUCCCUGCCUCCAGACUUGCCAUCCCUCUCUUCUGGCUCUAACCUUUCUCUCACUGCUGCACGUGUCUUCCGACUGGAAUCUCAUGUCAGCCCCUUGCCUGAAGUACCUAAGUGGAUCCUUCAUGCCCUCAGAAUAGACUGAACUUAGAAAAAUGGGAUUCAGUGUCCCUCCUAACAUGAUUUCUG
Molecule: long non-coding RNA, 565 nt
Organism: Heterocephalus glaber (naked mole-rat)
Lineage: Eukaryota; Metazoa; Chordata; Mammalia; Rodentia; Bathyergidae
Source: Ensembl